GACUCCCUAAUCAAACCCAAAACGAAAUCAUCACAAAAUCAUUAAAUUGCACCUCCAGCUUGGCCUAAUUUUUUUUAUUCACGUUUUCGUCUUCAUAAUUUAAUAAUUGGACGACUUGCUCUCAUUUUCGGCGUGUAUCAAGUUGGUUCAAUAAAUUCGUUGUGCCCAAUAAUGAUAAAAAAGUGCGUUAUAAAUUCGCAACAAUUUAAAUCGAGCCCAAACUUUGCAAUUCCACGAAUUCAUCAGAUCAAUUUAUACAAUGUCGCACCUUCUUCCACAUUUACCCUUUUUGGGCCCGGUUUUGGCCCCAGUUUUGGGCCCUUUUCUCCAGACUUUAGGCCCACUCCUUUCACUCUUAGGCCCCCUCCUUAUUUUACCCUUAGUUCCGAUCUUUAUCGCAUUUGCUGGGCCUGUCCUUGGCCCAAUUUUGGCGUCUCUGGGGCCUGUACUAACGCCCCUAGCUCCCAUUUUACUGACGAUAACUCCAAUUCUUCUAGUUUUGAUCCCGCUUGUGGGAGCAGUUCUCACACCUUUGGCUCCAAUUAUAUCACCACUUGCUCCAUUACUACUUCCACUGUUUCUCAUAGUGGCCUCUUUGCUGGCUCCUGCCGUUCCACAAAUUGUCUCAGUUUUGGGGAAAUUUGUAUUGCCUUUGGUACCAAUCCUUAAUGCUCUGGCUGGGUUUCUGGCACCGAUUGUUCCAGUGCUGAUAGGGAUUUUGAAGCCAGUUUUGGGACUUUUGAGCCCAGUGAUUUGGAUACUGGGCGGUUUGCUUAGGCCGAUAUUAAAACCAUUGUCUGUGCUUUUAACUGCUAUUAUUACACCUUUGAUGCCGGCCUUGGCACCUCUAAUCCAAGGCCUAUUGACCUUGGUAGGACCCCUACUUUUGAUAAUAAAAUAAUAAACAAAUAAUUCAGAUGUUUUUUAUGGGCUCAAUUAUUUUUUGUUAUAGCUCAAUAAUAAACUGAUAGAUUGA
Molecule: RNA transcript, 976 nt
Organism: Tribolium castaneum (red flour beetle)
Lineage: Eukaryota; Metazoa; Arthropoda; Insecta; Coleoptera; Tenebrionidae
Exons: 2
Source: RefSeq, a predicted model, not a curated record